CGAGCGUUAAUCGGAAUUACUGGGCGUAAAGCGCAUGCAGGUGGUUUGUUAAGUCAGAUGUGAAAGCCCGGGGCUCAACCUCGGAAUUGCAUUUGAAACUGGCAGACUAGAGUACUGUAGAGGGGGUAGAAUUUCAGGUGUAGCGGUGAAAUGCGUAGAGAUCUGAAGGAAUACCGGUGGACGAAGGCGGCCCCCCUGGACAGAUACUGACACUCAGUAUGCGAAAGCGUAGGGGAGCAAACAGGAUUAGACUACCCUGGUAG
This 263-nucleotide ribosomal RNA is filed under the name uncultured bacterium. RNAcentral's name for it is "partial 16S ribosomal RNA". It matches the Rfam family "Bacterial small subunit ribosomal RNA", at positions 535 to 793 of the family's 1533-position model. The record is from RNAcentral.